Lactuca sativa (garden lettuce) is the source of this 305-nucleotide non-coding RNA. Lineage: Eukaryota; Viridiplantae; Streptophyta; Magnoliopsida; Asterales; Asteraceae. The record is from RefSeq and is a predicted model, not a curated record.
GGAGCAGUUGGAUCUGAUGACUAAAAGGAACAUAUUUAUCAGCUUUCACUCUUUUCCAAAAACAAAAAGAAGAAAAGCGAGCAAGGUGGACCAUGACUUCCGACGAUCUGAAGAUAAAAAAAAAAGGGGGGUAAACAUGUUCGUUUGAAAUAAGUUGGGGAUGGUUUUUGUACUUUCACUUGUUCACGGGAAAAUUCACUUGAAAACGACAUGACAUUAUAUGAUGUUUUCUUUCAUUUUAUUUUUAUGGAUUAAAUUGGAAUAAUGAAUUCAUUUAUGAAGAAUCUCUCAUUCGUUGAAUGUUC